CAGCAGCCGCGGGAAUACGUAGGGUGCAAGCGUUGUCCGGAAUUAUUGGGCGUAAAGAGCUCGUAGGCGGUUUGUCGCGUCUGCUGUGAAAACUGGAGGCUCAACCUCCAGCCUGCAGUGGGUACGGGCAGACUAGAGUGCGGUAGGGGAGAUUGGAAUUCCUGGUGUAGCGGUGGAAUGCGCAGAUAUCAGGAGGAACACCGAUGGCGAAGGCAGAUCUCUGGGCCGUAACUGACGCUGAGGAGCGAAAGCGUGGGGAGCGAACAGGAUUAGAUACCCGCGUAGUCCCUGUCUCUUAUAC
This 301-nucleotide ribosomal RNA is filed under the name uncultured bacterium. RNAcentral describes it as "partial 16S ribosomal RNA". It matches the Rfam family "Bacterial small subunit ribosomal RNA", at positions 509 to 807 of the family's 1533-position model. The record is from RNAcentral.